RNAcentral lists this ribosomal RNA (253 nucleotides) under uncultured bacterium. RNAcentral describes it as "partial 16S ribosomal RNA". It matches the Rfam family "Bacterial small subunit ribosomal RNA", at positions 524 to 776 of the family's 1533-position model. The record is from RNAcentral.
UACAGAGACUGCAAGCGUUAUUCGGAUUCACUGGGCGUGAAGGGUGCGCAGGCGGCCAAGUGUGUUAGGCGUGAAAGCCCGGGGCUUAACCCCGGAAUUGCACCUAAAACUACAUGGCUAGAGCAUUGGAGAGGGUAGCAGAAUUCAUGGUGUAGCAGUGAAAUGCGUAGAUAUCAUGAGGAAUACCAGAGGCGAAGGCGGCUACCUGGACAAUUGCUGACGCUCAGGCACGAAAGCGUGGGGAGCAAAAGGG